CCUACGGGUGGCAGCAGUGAGGAAUAUUGGUCAAUGGACGAGAGUCUGAACCAGCCAAGUCGCGUGAAGGAUGACUUCCCUAUGGGUUUUAAUCUUCUUUUAUAAAGGAAUAAAACGAGGCACGUGUGCCUUUUUGCAUGUACUUCAUGAAUAAGGAUCGGCUAACUCCGUGCCAGCAGCCGCGGUAAUACGGAGGAUCCGAGCGUUAUCCGGGUUUAUUGGGUGUAAAGGGAGCGUAGAUGGCUUGUUAAGUCAGGUGUGAAAGUUUGCGGCUCAACCGUAAAACUGCAAUGGAUACUGGGAGUCUUGAGUACAGUUGAGGUAGGCGGAAUUCGUGGUGUAGCGGUGAAAUGCUUAGAUAUCACGAAGAACCCCGAUUGCGAAGGCAGCUUACUAAACUGUGACUGACAUUGAUGCUCGAAAGUGUGGGUAUCAAACAGGAUUAGAUACCCGUGUAGUC
This 460-nucleotide ribosomal RNA is filed under the name uncultured bacterium. RNAcentral describes it as "partial 16S ribosomal RNA". It matches the Rfam family "Bacterial small subunit ribosomal RNA", at positions 338 to 795 of the family's 1533-position model. The record is from RNAcentral.